Long non-coding RNA from Pantherophis guttatus, 429 nucleotides. RefSeq lists it as uncharacterized. The record is from RefSeq and is a predicted model, not a curated record. NCBI's taxonomy places the organism in Eukaryota, Metazoa, Chordata, Lepidosauria, Squamata, Colubridae.
UCCUGUCUGUUAUUAUAAGCCACCCAGAGUAGCCCCCACGGCAACAUAUCAAAUAAAUUUAAUAAAUAACGUAAGCGUAAAGCUUUUUACUGGAAACUUUUUUCCCCCUACUAAAGUCAACUACUGGGGCAAGGUUGCCACAACAGAACGAAUCGAGGCAACACAGCCUACUUUUACUAUCCAGGUGCACCGAGUGGAAAACAAGGAGCAGGCGACGGAGCAGCGCUACAAGCUAUAUACACCCCAAGACCGACAUUCAUCCCAAACAGGUUUCAGAUGAUUCCUCUAAGACUCGAGAGCUGCCGAGCGAUGAGGCGGGGAAGAUGAAAAAGAAAAAAAAACGGACUCUUUUUUCCCCUCUUUCUACACGCCAGACUCUUUGAAAUAGGAAAAUCAUGGCUUUUAGAGUAAAGCGGAGAAAGAGAGAAA